Long non-coding RNA from Dermacentor andersoni, 453 nucleotides. RefSeq lists it as uncharacterized. NCBI's taxonomy places the organism in Eukaryota, Metazoa, Arthropoda, Arachnida, Ixodida, Ixodidae. The record is from RefSeq and is a predicted model, not a curated record.
GGAUGAAGAGUCCAAGAUUAUACGAGCAUUUCAGGGGCCAUAAGAUCCUUCUACUUCCCAGCCGUGUGUGCCUCCUAAAGUACAUUAAGAUGUGGCAGUGCUCAAGAAACUGCACUUAACAGCAUGCUGGCAUUUCUGGAUCAGUGGGAGGCCCAUGCAAAAGGGCUCGGCUUCUUAAGCAAGGGCACAUCAGAAGGCCUGCGUGUGACCAUACAUUCCACUAAAGACCUCUUGACGUAUUUAACUUAAAAGGUGCAUAAGUGUUUACAGCUUGGCCAAGAGCCCCAAGGGAGGAAUUGUGUCCCCUGGACUUUUGGAGUCCUUGCUGUCCGAGGUCAAGCUGCUCCCAGAAAACGAAGAAACGGCCUUGGAUGACACUGGACUACCUGCCGAAGCCGCAGAAGUUGCCGUAGACCAUGUAGACUAUGGAACACAGUGAUGCCCGCCUGGUCU